GUACCUCUGACUGAAUCCCUUCCUAUAUGUCCCUGUCAACAGAGGUCUACAACGUACCUCUGACUGAAUCCCUUCCUAUAUGUCCCUGUCAGAGAGGUCUACAACGUACCUCUGACUGAAUCCCUUCCUAUAUGUCCCUGUCAACAGUCAACAACGUACCUCUGACUGAAUCCCUUCCUAUAUGUCCCUGUCAACAGAGGUCAACAACGUACCUCUGACUGAAUCCAGACCUAUAUGUCCCUGUCAACAGAGGUCAACAGUGUACCUCUGACUGAAUCCCUUCCUAUAUGUCCCUGUCAACAGAGGUCAACAACGUACCUCUGACUGAAUCCAGACCUAUAUGUCCCUGUCAAAAGUUUGGACACACUCAUUCCAGGGUUUUUCUUUAUUUGUACUAUUUUCUACAUUGUAUAAUAAUAGUGAAGACAUCAAACUAUGAAAUAACACGUAUGGAAUCAUGUACUAACCCAAAAUAUAUAUAUUUGAGAUUCUUCAAAGUUGCCACCCUUUGCCUUGAUGACAGCUUUGUCUUCAUUAUUAUUCUACAAUGUAGAAAAUAGUAUAAAUAAAGAAAAACCCUGGAAUGAGUAGGCGUGUCCAAACAUUUGAUUGGUUCUGUGUGAGUCAGUCAACCUGCAUGGCUACAACCUUCUCUGUCCUCACCUUACCCACCCACUGUCCUGACUGCCAUAGAGAGAGAUUUACUGCGUUUGCUCGAGCCAGGUGUAGAGUUGAAACAGCUGUCGGUCUUCAGUCCUGAUGAUGUUCACUGACCUCUUAGACAACCACUUGGUGUGUCCCAAACGGCAUCCUAUCGGUACUUCAACAGGGCACCAUUUAGUGGACGGCUCAUCAAAGAUUCUAAGUAUGAAUAUGUUAAUAGCCCUCCGUGAACUGAGACUGAAGGGGUCUUGGAUUGAAUUGAUCAGUCAGACGCUCUAACAGUGGUGUCCUGAUGGGGGGUGUAGUUCCAUACAGGGCAGCAUUCAGAAAGGUACGUUUUAGUGUAUUUUUAUUAUUUGGCCAACUAAGAGAUGACCUGUGCCUUGUAGAGUGAGACAGCGCUGGUGGUUGAAUCCCAAAUGGCUCCCUGUAUAGUGCACUUUUUUGGACCUGAGCCCUAUUGACCAUGGUCUAAAGUAGUGUACUAUAUAGGGAAUAGGGUGCCAUUUCGAAGACAACCUGUGUUUUUAAUUAGAUCUGAUUAAUAAAGUGUUUCUAAACCUGUGCAAUCUGCCAUUUGUUCCUCACUCUUUGGUAAUGUAUUAUGAGUUAUAGCAGGCAUAUGUAGUGUCAUAAGAGAGAGGGCAGCCAUAAUGCAUCCUGUUUCCAUCCCAUUCAUUUGUCCCUCCAUCGUCAUGGCAUCCAUACACAACAGUAAAGUCAUAUCCCACCAGCAGGAUACAGACCUUCACAGAAACAUCUCUAAUCUGUGAUUGGUCAGAAGUCACAGCGAGAGCACAUGCAACGUUGUAUCCAUGGCAACCUUAACUGCCAGCUCGUAGAAUCAGCAAAAAGUCAGAACAGAUCAGUGAAUGUGUGUAUUUGAAAUAGAUGUUACUUUAGUGACUAUCAUAUUUAUUGAACCAUUAUGGCCUUAUUUCAACAGUAUGUGUAGCAUAUUUUGAUGUACUAUCCAGAGUAUUUAGCUACUGUAUUACUAUUGUACAAUCACAAGAUAUCUAGUAUAUGUUUUGUAGACCUUUGUAUUGAAUCGCUGUGACUAGAGUUUGUAGUUUCAGUACUCAGUCGUUGCCAUAUAAAGACGUGAUACCAGCCCACCUUUAGCCAUUAAAUACUUUACCAGUGUUUCCCCUCUUCAUUCUCUUAAAACGUAACUUUGUGUUUCUCCUUCACACACACACACACACACAGGAAACGGCAACACGCAAGGUGAAUCUUUCAAUUUAUUUUUAUCAAAAAAUAAUCAAGUGAACCAUGCUCUCUCCGUCCAGUCUUAAAAUACAGCCAGAUAAUGACAGGCUUGCUUAAACUCCAUAUCCCAUAAGCCUCUGCUCCAUCUAGGGUUGUAACUUUCCUGGGAUGAAGGACUAGGCAGUAAAUCUGGGAAAGUCAACUCCAUCACAUACAAAUACAUUUAUAAAGGGGACAAUCUGAACUGACACCCUAUUCCCUAUGUAGUGCACUACUUUUGACCAAAGCCCUAUGAGAGCUUAUGAGGCUCUGGACAAAACGUAGUGCACUACAUAGGGAGCCAUUUUGGACUCAACCAAGAAGAAAUCUGUCAACGGUAAAAUAAGAGACAUGAUGGUGAAGUUGCCCUUAGACACUGAUCUGCGGUCAGUUUAACAUUUCCCCCCACUAAUGGUUAAGGUUAGGAUUGGGGGAUGGGAAGCUGAUCCUAGAUCUGUACCUAGGGGGAACGUCAGUCCCUCCAGAGCGACAAAUAACAGGAUUGGUUCCGGUUCAUGUGUAGGCCCUGUUGCAGUCAGACAGACCUGCAUCAAACCAGAUCGAACUGGACAAAGCUGGUUUAGAGGAGUGACCUUUAGGUUCCAAGA
This is a long non-coding RNA of Oncorhynchus mykiss (rainbow trout), 2522 nucleotides long. Lineage: Eukaryota; Metazoa; Chordata; Actinopteri; Salmoniformes; Salmonidae. The record is from Ensembl.